Long non-coding RNA from Oncorhynchus tshawytscha (Chinook salmon), 529 nucleotides. NCBI's taxonomy places the organism in Eukaryota, Metazoa, Chordata, Actinopteri, Salmoniformes, Salmonidae. The record is from Ensembl.
CUCUCUCUCUCUCUCUCCCCCUCUCUCUCCCUCAUAGUGCCUUUGUGGUCGUUUUUUAUGGUUAAACUGAUUUCUUGUUGUUCAGUUUCUUGCCUUUCUUGAGGGCAAGUUUGUUCUUCACAUGACCACGCUUCCUCUUCGCCGUCUGAAGAAAUGAAAUCAUAAUAACAUUUAGAUGAGACAGUAGAUCAGUCCAGAAAACCUAUAUCCCUCAAACCCUGGGCAUUUAGCACUCUGAUAGGUUAACCCUGGGCAUUUAGCACUCUAAUAGGUUAACCCUGGGCAUUUAGCACUCUAAUAGGUUAACCCUGGGCAUUUAGCACACUAAUAGGUUAACCCUGGGCAUUUAGCACUCUAAUAGGUUAACCCUAGGCAUUUAGCACUCUGAUAGGUUAACCCUGGGCAUUUAGCACUCUAAUAGGUUAACCCUGGGCAUUUAGCACUCUAAUAGGUUAACCCUGGGCAUUUAGCACUCUAAUAGGUUAACCCUAGGCAUUUAGCACUCUGAUAGGUUAACCCUAGACAUUUA